ACGACGGGUAGCCGGCCUGAGAGGGUGACCGGNCACACUGGGACUGAGACACGGCCCAGACUCCUACGGGAGGCAGCAGUGGGGAAUAUUGCACAAUGGGCGCAAGCCUGAUGCAGCAACGCCGCGUGAGGGACGACGGCCUUCGGGUUGUAAACCUCUUUUAGCAGGGAAGAAGCGAAAGUGACGGUACCUGCAGAAAAAGCACCGGCUAACUACGUGCCAGCAGCCGCGGUAAUACGUAGGGUGCAAGCGUUGNNNNGAAUUAUUGGGCGUAAAGAGCUCGUAGGCGGUUUGUCGCGUCUGCUGUGAAAACGCGAGGCUCAACCUCGCGCCUGCAGUGGGUACGGGCAGACUAGAGUGCGGUAGGGGAGAUUGGAAUUCNCUGGUGUAGCGGUGGAAUGCGCAGAUAUCAGGAGGAACNNCNNAUGGCGAAGGCAGAUCUCUGGNNNGNAACUGACGCUGAGGAGCGAAAGCGUGGGGAGCGAACAGGA
Molecule: ribosomal RNA, 491 nt
Filed under: bacterium EJ10-10
Lineage: Bacteria
Description: partial 16S ribosomal RNA
Rfam family: Bacterial small subunit ribosomal RNA
Source: RNAcentral